CACACCCAGAUGCAAUUACUACAUCGCUCACACAUGCUCGCUAACACACAAAUACACACACUCCUCUCCCCUUGGCGCUGGUACUAGAUCUGUGGUCCUUCAGCUCCAGAAAACAUAAGCUUUUACCACUUAAGUUAAAGAAGACCUUCUUUAGAUAGUACUAAUAGUAGAAUCUUGUAUCUUCUCUAUAGCAAUGUCACAUGUGUGCACACACACACCUAGUACAUUUCAUAGCAUGUCUCUGCAAGGUCCUCUGCAGAGGAGAAGAGUGAGUAUAUCAACAAAUCCACAUGGCAGCUGGUGCUUGGCAUUGCUUCCCCUACUCAGCAUUAAUUAGCUGUCUCUCAGCUGUGCAGACACCCUGGCUGUUCUCCUGUUGAGGGCAGAGGAUGCUGUUCCCCAAAGUCCACGUGACUGGAGAGCAUUCUCCUGCAAGUUCUCUCAUGUUUGGGCCAUUGCUCCAAGUCUCAGAAACUGACACAAUGGGCUGCCCUGCCUGUGAUGGGGUGUCAGCCCCACACAGACUUGGAAGAGGUUAAGGUGGCCAGGCAGGCCAAUUAAAUCCCCUGGGUGCACCUGGAGGGGGAGCCAGGGAGCUGGCCACUAAUUAUGAGUAGGCUCAGCUGUGCCAGAGCAGGAGGGGCUCAGUAUAUAGCCAAGCAGCUGGCCACAAGCAGUGGUGGUAGGAAGGCAGGCUAUAGUUACUAACUAACUAACUAGAGUGGAAGGAGUUAAGAUGCUGGUAAACCCAGAGAGGGGAGAAACCAGUGAAGUAGGAAGAAGCCCAGGGAAAUAAAGAGAUAUAGGCCUUGGCUGCAUGUUAUAGGAUCCCUGGGCUGGAACCCAGUGUAGAGGGCAGGCCUUGGUUCCCCUACCAGCCACUGGGUAGUGGCACAACGUGUUGGAGAUGCCAUCCUGACAGCAGAGUCUGGAAGACCUUUGAAUUUCCCAGAAGGGGAGGACUUUAGUGACCUGGCCGGAGGGCCAAGUCAUGAAGAGGAAGAUGUAGAUCUGGGAGUGAUCAGUGUAGUGGGAGAUAGGAUGGCGGAAGACACCACCGGAAUGGGAGCACAGGCUGGUGGAGCUAUUCCCUGGGAGAACCAGCAGGAGGUGCGAAGAGAAUCCAGAAUCAGCAUGAGCCUGAAAUGAAAAGAAGAGGCAUUACUUUUGCAGCUAUGACCUGCCUUCUUUAUCUUAUAACUCUCUGUGCUGACGUAUCUGAUCCUGCCCCAACUGAAGUCAGUGGUAAGGUUCUUGGCCCUAAAUAUUUAAAAUUUUGAUCAGUGACUUGGAAGAAAACAUGAAGUCAUGACUGCUAAAGUUUGUAGAUGACCCACAGAUCAGGGGAGUGUGCCUAAAAGCCCUUGCCUCCAUGUGCUGGGAAAUGUACAAAGAGGUAACAAAGAGGCCUUCCCUGCCCCAAAGAGGCUAUGGACAACAAGAAAGCAACCAGUCCAUUCUGACCACUGGCUUAGCUGACAGUUCACAGGAGCUGGAGUAUUGACAUCUCUGCUGGUUCUUCUGAAGAGAGUAAAUGAUACCGGCCUAAGUUUUGGAGUGGAGUUUUAAGAAGAGGUAAUAGCUGUGGAGCCAAGCAGCAGGAGGAAAAUCAUAUCCAUUUUCCAUACAAUCACAGAUUUUAGAGGAAACUUUUGCUGGAGAGAGUUGGAUCCAAACCACAGGUGGUGUAAAUCAGUGUAACUGCACUGAGGUCAUUGGAGCUACACCAGGCUGCGCCAGCUAAAAAUCUGACCAAUAGAAUUUGCCAGUGGCAGAAGAAAAAGCAGGAACUGGAUGUCUUGAUCUCCUGUUUCCUGUUCUACCAAUAGAUUACAUGCUUUUCCAGUAUGGUAUAUGUGAUAAUGGGUGUUGUAAAAACCAAACAUAAAGCUCCUAAUAAAUAAUGGAUUAUACCCAUAUUCUAGAAUAUGACCAGAAACAGAAUGCUGGAGACGGAAGAGAAAGCUGAUUUGAAUUCACACUGAGAAUCCAAGUAAAAUAACAAGCAGCAUUUUGACCUUGAAGCUUCUUUUGAGGACAAUUUGUAAAGGAAAGCAUAUAAUUAAUAUGAGAGGAAAUUUAAAGGUGAAGGCUACGAAUAUAAUAGACACAGAAGAUACAGUAGGAGAGGGUAUUGCAAAAGGAUAAGGUGCAACUAUUACAUUAAGGAAAAAGAAAGCAAAAUACUCUGUAGUGAAGUGGAGGAAUAGCAAAAAUAUAAAAGUUUCGAGUGAAAUCCACUUUUUGCUUUUCCUCUCACAUCUCACCCCCAAAUUGUCAAGAUAAUGUAAUUACAAGUGCAUGAACAUGGCAUUACAAUGUCAACACAGAGUUAAAAAACAUUAAUGGAAAUUUGGAAAUGAUUCUGAAAUGCGUAGAUGGAAUGAAACCAUGUCAAUACAAUUCUAAAUGUGAUUGGGCUAAAUUGUACCCUUCCUUAUGCCUGUGAAAUCCCUUUGCCAUCAGUCUGUUGCACUGGCUUUUUAUCGGUAUAACUGAGAGCGGAAUAACCAUUCAGAUCUGUAAAGACCACGGGUCAAAUUCUCUUCUGGUGUAAAUAAGUGAAACUCCACUGAAGUCAACAGAGCUCUACACAUUUGCACCAACCAGUAAUUUGCCCCAGUGUUCUGAUAACACAACCAAACAAUAUCCAUGUGAGUAUAUGGAAUCCACCUUAUAAUUUUACAGUCUAAUUUAAUGAUAUGGUUGAAAUGCACUGUACACUACAGCAUAUAGGGAAACUAAAUCCCCCCAAAAGAAAGGACACAACAACUAUUAAGGCUGAGGCAUAGAGGGCCUUAUUCAAAACUCCUCACUCACUCCCUACUCAAAGAAAACUCUCAUUGUCCUCAAAGGGAGUUUUAGCCACGUAAGGAGUGU
Chelonia mydas (Green sea turtle) is the source of this 2880-nucleotide long non-coding RNA. RefSeq lists it as uncharacterized. NCBI's taxonomy places the organism in Eukaryota, Metazoa, Chordata, Testudines, Cheloniidae. The record is from RefSeq and is a predicted model, not a curated record. The transcript has 5 exons.